Long non-coding RNA from Ailuropoda melanoleuca (giant panda), 279 nucleotides. RefSeq lists it as uncharacterized. Lineage: Eukaryota; Metazoa; Chordata; Mammalia; Carnivora; Ursidae. The transcript has 3 exons. The record is from RefSeq and is a predicted model, not a curated record.
GGAGGAGAGCAGUGUGAACUCUGUGGAGGAGUGCAGGUGGGAGGUUUGCCGUUCUUGUGGCAGCAGCGUUUGCGCCGGUUUUAUUUCAUCAUCAUAAACUGAACUCUGCAGUCCAGCUAGAACUGGGGGUAAGGAACCAUGAAGCCCACAGAACUGCAGCCAGAACACAGAGAUUCUGGGGUAUUUUGAGCAGGUCAAUUGGAUGUAUAUAUAUAUGGAGACAGAGAGGGGAGAGAGAGAGAAGUAACAUUUAACAAUUAAAGAAUUGGGGUAAAGAGG